Non-coding RNA from Malus domestica (apple), 3806 nucleotides. The record is from RefSeq and is a predicted model, not a curated record. Lineage: Eukaryota; Viridiplantae; Streptophyta; Magnoliopsida; Rosales; Rosaceae.
AAAAUUUCGAUUUCUUUACGAAAUUGCUACCUUUCAGAGUGCACGUGUCGACCAUCGUAGAAAGGGUGGGGGAUGGAAGCAAACCCGAUUUUGUUCCAGAGAUCUCUUCGACAACAAACUCAUUUUGCUCCAGAGCUCUUCAACGACAAAGUCGAUUCGGCGUCUCACCGUUUCACACCUCGCCUUCCCCUCGCCGUCGCACACCUUGCCUUACCUCGCCACCGCACUUCUUACCAGAACUCGAAUCAAUGCCAAAACUCAUGGAUUAGGCUGAGAGAGAUAUAUAUGGGAUGAUUUAUGGACGAAUUUCAGGGAGAGGUGUGGGAUGGUAGGGAAGGGAAGGGAGAGGGAGCAGUGGGGCUGCCAAAAAGGUGGUUAGGGUUAAUUUUUCUCCUCAAAUUAAUUGUUGGAGUCAGUGAUUGAACAAGCAUUGGUUAGAGGGGAACUUUCAUUUCCUUUGUUUCUAAACCGGAAUAGGGUCGAUGGGACCAUGCUCUGUUGCAUGUUCAAAUAAGUGAUUUUAGGGAUUUGGGGGUAGGGAGAGUGAUUUCAGGGAUUGGUAAUCCCAUCCCGUGUUUUCCCUUCAUCUCUGUCACACUCAACCUCUCUUUAAUCCUUUAUCUUUCACUCCCUUUUAGACUCUUCCUUUCUCCCAACUCUCCAUCUCUCUCAACUUUAGUGCUAACCUUAAUUUGUUCUUUCAUUCCUCAAUUUUCUCCAUCCGAGCAAUGAAAAAUCGAACUGGGUUUUCAGAUUAUUGAUGCUUCACAGACAAAGAAUGGAGAGAGUUAAUUGAGGGAGAUGGUGAGUAUGGGCUUGCACAGAGGGAAGAACGCAGAAAGAGAGAGAGAGAGAGAGGGAGAGAACGAUUGCACAUAGACAAUGAGAGAGUUAGAGAGAGAGAGAUCGCAGAAAGAGGAGGAUGAUGAAAAUUGAAGAGGAACCCAUGUCUGCAGAGAAUGAGACAAAAAAACUACCAAGGAAGAGACUGCUAAGAAAGUAAAACCCAGACUGGAGAAGACAAGCAAUGACGGAGGAACCAAGGCUCUAGAUCUUUGAUAAAAGCACUGACAAUGUCAUCGCUCUUUCCAUUCCUUUAUUUUUGAUUAGGGAUUUGCAUAUUGCUAAAAGAGAGGAAGACAUUGGCUACUGUGCUGGAUAUGUAGAUAUUGAAACAUGCUUAAAUUCACUUGGAAAUUAUUCAUGUCACUGUCCCAAAGGAUACAAACAUGAAGGCAUGGAUGAAAAGAGUUGUAUCAAAGACAACAAAUGGUCAAAGGCCAUUCUCCUCAUUAUUUCAUUAGAUCAAAGAAGGAAGUUCAAUUUAUCAAGGAUCAAGGUUUGAACUACUAGACAUCACGCCGGCUUCGGUUUGAGGUAUAGGUAUAUGUGAACGGCUCACAAGGUUUUUCUGAAUUUGUAGGUCCAGGAUUUAUUUUUGAAAGGAUGAAAUCGUUUGCUGUUGAGGUUCCCGUGCAGAAGAGCGAAAAUGUUGCAAGUGGAAGAUAGAUAACAGCUCAAGACACAUGGUAUGAGGGUGCAGAAUAGUCACGAGCGAAUCUGGUUUAGAGAUUUUGUUUCCAAUCUACAUUCGGUGCCUUGCUCAGAUCGGCUCUGCACUCAUCAUCGACGACUCCGCCUUCACGAAGGACUCCAUAAAUCCCAAGACCAAUAAAGGUAAAGCACGCCCACCUCUUUUUUUCACUCGUUUUCAUGAUCGAAUGUCAAAUGAAGCGACUCUGAUUCAUGCAUGUGUGUAUGGUGUAUUCUAUAAAUGGGCUUCUCAAUUUGUUGUCUGGAUUGAAGAAAAGGUAGAUGGAGCUCUCGAAAAUUUCAGAUCCAAGAAAAGAGAAAGCAUUUUUUGUGUGAAAACCCUAAAAUGGAGACAAAAAAGAAAGGAUGGCAGACAUGAAGAGGGCUUUGGUGCAAGGAUCAGUUGCGGCGACUUUAAAUAAUGAUAGAGGUGAUUUUAGAAGGUUUUUGUGCAAUUUAAGGUAUCUCGGGCUCCAGAAAUUUCUAAUGCACAAGGCUUAGAUCACUUGCCAUCUGCACAUACUUGUGUUUUUAGUUGAUUAGAGUUGAACAUGGAGAAGUUUUUGAGACUUUUAGACAUGUUGGACCUCUCACAGUUGAUGUGGAUUUUUUGAAAGACAAACUGCGAGAAGAUUUGCUUGGCCACUUUGAUCAAUUGAAGUGAUUAGGAAUUAGGACCUUGGUUAUAUCCAACAGUUCACUGCCUAAAUACAAAAUUCAUAUAGACAGUUUCUGGGUGGGUAGCUCACGAUUCCUCGGGCAAGAUUACUCAUUUCGUCUUCAAACGAAGAGAAAAUGGGAUCAACAGUACAUAAAGAUUGGGUGGGUAUCGAAUACUGAAAUUCUGUGUGGGAAGGAAGGAAGUAGAGACCGCCCAAAAAAAAAAGAGAGUAUAUAUGUAUAUAAUGGGUUAGGUGCAAUGCAGAUGGCAAAGGGGUAACAGUGCAAUUUGAGUCCAAAAAAAAAAAAAGCUCAAAUCAAAAGAGGAAGCUACCCGAAAUGGAAAUUGGGAACGUUGGAAUUACAGAGGUUUCAAAACCCACCAAUUCGGAAGCUCAAAUUUCCCACCUUGCUCUCGAUAUUGGAGGUUCCCUGAUAAAGUUAGUGUAUUUCUCAACGAACAGUGACAAUUCGUCUUCUUUGAAUGAUAGCUUAGCAUCUUUUAAUGGCGAUAAAAGGCGUCCUGUUCUUGAAGGGAAGCUCCAUUUCGCAAAGUUUGAAACUUAGAAAAUGAAUGACUGUAUAGACUUCAUUCAGUCUAAGCAACUUCGCCUUACUGGUUAUUCAGUUUCAUCUGGAAUUCAAAGAUCAUUGUUGGAUAUUUCACACGGAAGUAAGAGCUGCCUGAUAAUUCACCAGGCCCCGACUGCCCUCGCUCCCGGCUUCAGGUUCCACCCGACACACGAGGAACUCGUCAUUUACUACCUCAAGCGCAAGGUCUGUCGCAAACCUUUUGAUUCUCCAUUUUUCUACGGUUCAUGAUCACUCACCUCGAGUACAAACUCCGCUGCUCAAGCUCUCACUUCGGCGAUCUCUCUGGUGAGCUUCACUAGUAUGCGAAGCUUUUUGAAGCUGAAACUUCGAGCUUUCAGAUAGAUUCAGUGCGGCGGAUGAAGAUGUUGAGGUACACUGUUUUGCUCGGUUUGUUUCUUCUUCUGGUGGCAGGCCAAACGAUGUUGCAUUUGGGCUUCGGUCCACACAUUGCAGACGUCAACAUUCUGCUGCCUCUCAGAAUGACUCAUCCGGUCGAGUAUCAGCUCUAGGGGUGAUGAUUGCUUCAAAUGGGUAUAGAUGGAGGAAGUAUGGUAAAAAAAGCAGUGAAGGUAAAACAGGUUCCUUUAAACACACAGCUGGAAAGUGGUCUAGCACCACAAUGAUAAAGGAAUUCAGACAUAAUGAUGCCAAGCUGUUUGCCAUCCCAUUACAAGGUCCCAACACCAACCAGGCUGAAAGCAAAAGAAAAAAUAAAAGAAAAAGCAGUAAGCAUGACUGCCUAUUAAGUGCAGCAGAGAAAAGAAAAACGGGGAAGAAGAUAAAGGAAAAGCAGACGGGGUGAUGCCAUGAUUAUGGCCACGACCCAUUGAGCAGGCUCUCCCCCCCCCCCGCGGCAACUACCAGCUGCACAUGCUAUCCAACCAGCGGCAACUACCAGCUGCACAUGCUAUCCAACCAUCUGUCAUACCCACUUUCAGUAGCUUUAUUUUUUAAUGAUGUAAUUUAUUUUUCUUAUCUUUCAGAGACAUCUGUAUAAACCCCAUCAGAGGGUAAUAAAA